Molecule: long non-coding RNA, 634 nt
Organism: Rhipicephalus microplus (southern cattle tick)
Lineage: Eukaryota; Metazoa; Arthropoda; Arachnida; Ixodida; Ixodidae
Source: RefSeq, a predicted model, not a curated record
CCUGCAAUAGGUGCCAUGGCGAUUUCCUGUUUACCUUUCUGGCUGCGAGGCGUGCGUUAAACGUCGAAGCUUCAGCGCUGUUCUACAUUAUAUUGUGAAAUGUAUGUAGAUACAUACGUGGCUGUCAUAUUUUGCACUAUCCGGAACAUCGAGCGUCAAUAUUUUAUGUGCGACACUUCGCCUACUGGUCGUCAGAAGAUAAACCUGACUCGCAUAGAUCAUUUCUUGGGGCCAUCUUCUGCUUCAGUUUCUUACACUUGGAUCUUCAGCAAAUGUCGACAUUGCUCUGGAGCUUACAGCGCCAAUUGAGAGCACAGACUCCGCAGGUCUUCCUUUGGCCAGAUCCCUUGGAGGCCUCAUGUAACAUAAGCAUUGUGAAUGCUGACUCAGCAUAUUGCUUCCUCAUCAUACUUUUUAUAGAUAGCCUGCAAAAAAAGGGGGAGUGGGGAUGAAUACCCAAAAGGGCGGUGCCACCUUACAAAUAUUGAGGCAUCACUCUCACUCCCAAUAACAGCACAUUUGAAAUUCAAGACCACAGAAAUAAAGCGAUUGGGGAACAAUUUCUUCCUAGAAGUGAUAAACAACCAGGUAAAAAGCAAUUUGCCACUUUCAAAUAAAAAAACAAGCUUUUGAC